RNAcentral lists this microRNA (22 nucleotides) under Macacine gammaherpesvirus 4 (Rhesus lymphocryptovirus). RNAcentral's name for it is "rlcv-miR-rL1-20-3p". Its record names the gene rlcv-miR-rL1-20-3p. The record is from miRBase by way of RNAcentral. Lineage: Duplodnaviria; Heunggongvirae; Peploviricota; Herviviricetes; Herpesvirales; Orthoherpesviridae.
UGUGGAUCUAACUUCCCUUAGU